Molecule: long non-coding RNA, 875 nt
Organism: Anopheles arabiensis
Lineage: Eukaryota; Metazoa; Arthropoda; Insecta; Diptera; Culicidae
Exons: 3
Source: RefSeq, a predicted model, not a curated record
CCUCCCGACAAUGGCUUGCUAAUUUUUGACAUGUCAAAUGAGAGACGCCAAAAUGUAAACAGCAAGUGUUUGCGUGUGCGGUGAUUUUAAUAAACAUAAAAUCAACCACGGAAGCAUGAUUUAGUUGUGGUGGAAGCGAAAAAACAAUGCUUGGAGCAUUGAAUAAAGCCGAAUGAAAUUUCUAACCUUCACGCACGACGCCGUCGCUAGGUAAGGUAUGUUUAUGUGUAAUUACGAUCAUUGUUCCAUUUUAGGGUGUGAUUUGUGCAAUAUAACCGUUCCUGGCGGGGAUAGUCAAUAGUCGAUACCCUUUGCAGCUGUGAAGGGGUGCAGAAGAAGGGGCUCGUUAUCACCCUUCCCACACCCGGACGCUUUUUCCACGGAUGAAGAAUAUGUUCCUGGCUGUAUGCGCCAAAUCUAACGGUGAUCCGUAUCGUGAACGAAUCGGCAUAAUCGGUGCCGGUCCCCGGCGGUUUGUGAAAGUGGUGGUACACAACGGUAUAGAGUACGAUAGAUAACAUGCAACUGAUCUGCGAAGUGCGCCACCUGAUGCUGGCGUUCGGCAAGACACAGAAGGAGAUGGCAUAGGAGUUCAACGUGUGGAACAAGGACGUGCUAGAUUUGUUCCAGAUCGAGGACCGCGACGAUGAGGGAUAGUUGCUGGAGCUAAUUAGUGACAUAGCCAGAAGGGUACGGGCAAGUUGUCGGGGAUUGCCGCCCAGCGCCAUGCCGUUGUGGUGUUGCGAAUUGGUGAGCGGUCUUUUCCCGCUGCUUAUCUGCUCUGAAGGAUAGCCGUGCUUGGGCCAACUAUCAACUAGCUGGACCCAGCACGAAAUGGACCGCGCAAGGCUUCAUAUUGCUGCGCCAAGCGGCCA